Molecule: long non-coding RNA, 535 nt
Organism: Hyaena hyaena (striped hyena)
Lineage: Eukaryota; Metazoa; Chordata; Mammalia; Carnivora; Hyaenidae
Exons: 2
Source: RefSeq, a predicted model, not a curated record
UAAACAAUACCAUUAGCAACAGUUUUUUUGUGGCUAAUGGUAUUGUUUUCUGGUAACUGACCUUCUUCGGGGCCAUCCCUUAAUAUAGGAGAAUUUUGAAUCAUGAUGUGACAACAGUUUUUGCCAAAUAUCAAUAUGUAAGGAGCUCUAAGACUGUACAGAAAGCAUCUCUUUUGAUUCAGGAAGAUGUUUGCUUCAGAGUCCAGAUGUUCCAGGAAUUAUCUGAGAAGAAACCCUUGAUGUUUCUGGAAACUUCAUAAAAGUUCCAGAAAAAUCCAAGUUGAUGUGCAGUUUUACUGUGGGAAAGACUGGACAGGUCAAGACCUUCUACAAAUGAAGAAAUAUUUCAAAUACUCUGCCCUUCAAUGGGACAAUUCUAAAUCACAGAAUCUAUAGAGUCUCCUGAAAGAGUAAAGUUGGUUUGCAUUCCAGUUAUGUUACCAACAUAAGCAUCUUUCCUUUCUCAGUGCCGCUUCCCUGUUCCCUUACUGAUGCCUCCAAAAAUCUGCUUCCAAAUAAACUACAUGCAAUACAA